This 253-nucleotide ribosomal RNA is filed under the name uncultured bacterium. RNAcentral's name for it is "partial 16S ribosomal RNA". It matches the Rfam family "Bacterial small subunit ribosomal RNA", at positions 524 to 776 of the family's 1533-position model. The record is from RNAcentral.
UACAGAGGGUGCAAGCGUUAAUCGGAAUUACUGGGCGUAAAGCGUGCGUAGACGGUUACAUAAGUCGGGUGUGAAAGCCCCGGGCUUAACCUGGGAAUUGCAUUCGAGACUGCGUAGCUAGGGUGCGGAAGAGGGAAGCGGAAUUUCCGGUGUAGCGGUGAAAUGCGUAGAUAUCGGAAGGAACACCAGUGGCGAAAGCGGCUUCCUGGUCCAGCACCGACGUUCAGGCACGAAAGCGUGGGGAGCAAACAGG